RNAcentral lists this ribosomal RNA (136 nucleotides) under Penicillium brevicompactum. RNAcentral's name for it is "partial 28S ribosomal RNA". It matches the Rfam family "Eukaryotic large subunit ribosomal RNA", at positions 1 to 135 of the family's 3401-position model. Lineage: Eukaryota; Fungi; Ascomycota; Eurotiomycetes; Eurotiales; Aspergillaceae. RNAcentral also lists the same sequence under 3 other names. The record is from RNAcentral.
UUGACCUCGGAUCAGGUAGGGAUACCCGCUGAACUUAAGCAUAUCAAUAAGCGGAGGAAAAGAAACCAACAGGGAUUGCCCCAGUAACGGCGAGUGAAGCGGCAAGAGCUCAAAUUUGAAAGCUGGCUCCUUCGGG